GAACGGCAGCACAGCAGAGCUUGCUCUGUGGGUGGCGAGUGGCGGACGGGUGAGUAAUGUCUGGGAAACUGCCCGAUGGAGGGGGAUAACUACUGGAAACGGUAGCUAAUACCGCAUAACGUCUUCGGACCAAAGUGGGGGACCUUCGGGCCUCACACCAUCGGAUGUGCCCAGAUGGGAUUAGCUAGUAGGUGGGGUAACGGCUCACCUAGGCGACGAUCCCUAGCUGGUCUGAGAGGAUGACCAGCCACACUGGAACUGAGACACGGUCCAGACUCCUACGGGAGGCAGCAGUGGGGAAUAUUGCACAAUGGGCGCAAGCCUGAUGCAGCCAUGCCGCGUGUAUGAAGAAGGCCUUCGGGUUGUAAAGUACUUUCAGCGGGGAGGAAGGCGAUGAAGUUAAUAGCUUCAUCGAUUGACGUUACCCGCAGAAGAAGCACCGGCUAACUCCGUG
RNAcentral lists this ribosomal RNA (454 nucleotides) under uncultured bacterium. RNAcentral's name for it is "bacterial SSU rRNA". It matches the Rfam family "Bacterial small subunit ribosomal RNA", at positions 64 to 507 of the family's 1533-position model. The record is from RNAcentral.